This 755-nucleotide long non-coding RNA is filed under the name Oreochromis niloticus (Nile tilapia). Its description in RNAcentral is "lncRNA (ENSONIG00000042718.1)". Lineage: Eukaryota; Metazoa; Chordata; Actinopteri; Cichliformes; Cichlidae. The record is from RNAcentral.
UUCUCCAUGGUUACGAUGGUAAAUAGACUGGUUCUUAUAAAGCGCUUUUCUACUGUAACACUCAAAGCAUUUUAUACAACUUGCCUCAUUGACUCAUACAAGCACUUUUCUAUGCUUUUUCUAUGUAAGUGCUUUCUAUCUAACAUGGACAUACUCCAAUGGAUGCAUCAGAGAGCAACUUGGGGUUAGCAUCUUGCCCAAGGAUAUUCGGCACGCAGACUGGAGCGGACAGGGAUCAAACCACCAACCUGAGUGGUAUGUGACCUGUUGUACCUCCUGACCCACAGUCACAGUGAGUGCACGAAAGCAAGGAAGUGUAAUGUAUGCAAGCGGUUAAAAAAAAAAGUGGUCAAUGUAUCCCAAACACUAAAAAAAUCUACUUUCUAGGGAGGCUGACAUAACCAGCCCUCUACACAACAAUCAAGGGGAUAUGAUUCAGGUGUGGCUCAUCCUCUAACACUGCCUCCCACACAGGAAAAGGAAACGGCAUGCACAACUGGAAUGCAGCCAUUUGCCUUUUACUUAGACUACUAACAUCGCAGCUUGUCAUCCAAAACAUCAAUUUUAAGUUCUACAGCAAGCCCACCAACAAAGUCCUUGUGGAAGUCACCGCAGGGGACUGGUUCCUUACCUCAGCUGGUGUCCUACGGAGCACCUACACUAUUCAACAUCGUCCUAGAACAGUAAUAAGAGAAAACCUGGAAGAUCUAAUGGCGACCAUCAGCACUGCAGGUCAAACAAUCACUAAUGGAUGA